This is a long non-coding RNA of Pangasianodon hypophthalmus (striped catfish), 1541 nucleotides long. RefSeq lists it as uncharacterized. The transcript is spliced from 3 exons. The record is from RefSeq and is a predicted model, not a curated record. Lineage: Eukaryota; Metazoa; Chordata; Actinopteri; Siluriformes; Pangasiidae.
AAAAGCAGAUAGAGGAAAAAGUCAAAAAUGAAUCUCCACUCGUCAGUGGAUGAUAUUGAAGCGUUUUUUUCUUAUGAGGGUAGGAGAGAGAGAGAGAGAGAGAGAGAGAGUGACCUGUUUGAAGUUUAAAAGAACCCUGGAUAAAAUGAGUAUCAAACUUUCUGAAAAAAAUCUGUCAUGUUUGUUCUCUUUAACCCUCCCUUCCCUCGUUCUCUCUCUCUCUGAUGGAUCUUAUCUCUUCCAUUUCAGAAGCUGGGGCAAGGGACGUGUGGAGAGAGGAAGGUGUCACCUUUUAGAAAGCGAGAGCGAUGCUCUUCAUGUCGGAAAUAGGAGUUUAGACUUUCUCAUUACGAGCAGCUCCACAGGUUCAGCUCCACCUUCUUCAAUCUGGACCCUCAACGGCAGCACUUAGUGGUGAAUGAAUUGGAACGCGAGUGACUGCCGUGAAAGGAGGAAGGAGAGAGGGAGUGAGAGAGGGAGAGAGCGAGUGAAUGUGAACGCUAAUAGAGAAGGUGUCACUUGAGUGUGGAGUGGGGGGUUUCACACGUUUAGAGCACAGAGACGUGGCGAAAAAGGAAGAAGAAAAGAUUUUUCGCACCCCCACUUUCCAUCAGGAGCAACUGUUGCUCUCCGGCCAAAUCUUGGUCAAAUGUUACACCAUCUUAAAUUUCCUGCACCAUGGCUUCAGGUCAAAUCAUCACUAAGCAUUUGAUAUUGUGGCCAUAAUUUAAGUGAAAAGGUCUCGAGCUCCGAUGUCCAGAGCUAGGAGAAAAGCCUUCUCAAAGCGCUGGUGCCUGAAAUGAAGCAGUACAUCGUUGGAGGGUUACUGAGCAGAUAUCCAGAGGUCUCAAUGUUAUUCAUUCACUGGGGUUGGAUAUACAGAUGGGUGAUGUGUUAAAGGAGAAACCAACUUAAAGUGUGUUAGUAAGGUGUUAGGCCAUGUCAGGCCACCAGAACAGCUUCACUGUGCCUUGGCAUACAUACUACAAGUCUGUGAAAGUGUACUAGAGAGAUAAACACUGUUAUUCCAAAAGAUAUACCCUCAGUUGGUUGGUGUUUUGAUGAUGGUGGUGGUGGAGAACAUUAUCUAAAAUCUCACAUACGUUCAACUAGGUUGAGAUGUGGUGACUGUGACGGUCAUAGCAUAUGAUUUAAAUCAUUUUCAUCCUCAUCAAACCAUUCAGUGAGCCUCUGUAGUGGGGGUGGAGUCAUGUGAAAUGAAUGUGAAAUGCACCAAAUAGUGCAAUAAUUUGAGGCUUGGUUCCUUUCUAAGAAUGUGUUCACACACCACCAGAAACAAGGAUGUGUGCAUACAUACAUGUAUAAGUAACUGGUAGUGAAAAUUAGUAUUUAGUAAUUAGAAAGUAAUUAGUACAAGUAAUUAAUAGUGAUGCAUUAACUUGGGAAAAUAUGUUAAAAAAAUAAAAACAUAGAAAAGGGCAGGCGGUCAAAAGAACAGGUUGCUGUUGAAAUGGUCUGAGAUUAGUUGUAUGUAGAGCUGUGUGUGUGUGUGUGUGUGUGUGUAUGUAUACCUGAGCAGG